AUGUGUUUCUGCAGUCAUUUUUGCACCGCGUGCCUCUGGUUUACACUCUACUUCGUACACACGUGGACGCAGACGACACCCCCACUGAAAAAGAAUAAAACCAAGAUUUUUUUCAAUAGCACGGGCUUCAGAAGAGCCGUAACUUCACCGUCGUUCGUGGACAAAACCCUCUUCAUCAAGCACUUCAUCGAAUCGGGCGAGAGUGUCGUGAUAUCCGCCCCCCGCGGUUUCGGCAAAUCCACCAACCUGGACAUGCUCCGGAUCUAUCUGGAGCACAGAUUAGUCCAGAUCGCUAACAUCGGCGGAAGAGCGUGAGUAGUUUUGUGAGCGCCAUUGGCGGGACAAUCCAUGGGCAUUUAAAACUAGGAACCCAAACUGAAAUUUUGGCUAUUUCUAGCAGAUUUUCGGCGGGAGAACACUUCUUUUCAGAUUUUUGUGGGAUGAAACGUUCCGAAGAAUUCAAGAAUUAGUUUCUCAGUAGAAUUUAUGUGGUUCAAUAUUUCCAGAUUAAAAUAUGCAGCACUCUCCCCCUUAAUUUGGAAUGUCUAUCACGCAUCUAUUCUAGAUGAAUCGAUAUCUUCACCGCCAGAUUAUAAUAUAUCAUAUUUUUGAAGUUUAAAGCCUUAGAAACCGAAAAUUAAAGCAAAAUCCUAGCAAAAUGAGACUUUUGGUUCCUAGUUUUGAAUUCCCGCCAGGCCCCCAUGAGAGCAGUUAAUUGCUACCAACUGUUGUAAGAAUAUUGAAACAGAAUACUUAGCAUAACAGUAGUUGAUAAAAUCUUAUUUGAUCAAAAACCAUUAUUACACAUUACUAUUUAUACUUUAUUAAAGCUUUUAUAAUCAGAUUCAAGAGGAAAGAGCCUCCCAAAAUUUGGCCCCUUUUUAGGUAUUCGAUUCGACCAUCGGGCCAAGGUUUAAAUGGAAGCUUAUAGUAACAGAAAACUCAGGAAAAAAUUUCAAGAUGAGUAUAGGGACCGUUUUCGAGUUACGGGGGGGCAAAGGGGUCAUAAUCCGGCCUAAUUUUUUGCUGUUUCCUUGUAGAAUUGAUGUAUCGCCGGGGUUUUUAUCGUUGUUUACGCAUGUGUAGCACAUCGAUUCCUACGUAUUUUUACACGUAGAAUCGAUUUUUAAUGUUGCCGAAUUGAUAUACUGAUCAGUAAAAUCGAUUUUGAACGAUUUUUUAAGGAAAAUCGAUGAUUUUUGGGAUCGAAAUUGUUUAUUUUCGAUUCAUGAAUGAAUGAAUGCACAUAAAAUGACUGAAGCACACCGAACCCUACGUAUUUUGACACGAAGAAUUGAUUUUUAACGUCGACGAGUCGAUUUACUUAUCAUUUGUAUCGAAUUUUUGCGAUUUUUUACGGAAAAUCGUUGACUUUUCGGAAUCAAAAUCGGGUUUGCUCCAUCCGAGAUGAGAGAUAUGUACCCAACAUGUCUGGAGCACAUCGAUUCUUACGUAUUUUUACACGUGGAAUCGAUCUAUAACCUCGAAGAGUCGAUAUAUCGAUCAGUUGUAUUGAAUUUUUGCGAUUUUUUGCGGAAAAUCGAUGGUUUAUCGGGAUUGAGAUCGGUGUUUCUCCAUCCGAGAUCGGGGAAAUGUACUUUUCAUGAUUGGAGCACAUCAAUUCUUACACGUAGAAUCAAAUACUAACGUCGACGAGUCGAUAUAUCGAUCAGACAUACACAACUCUUGCGAUUUUUAACGGAUAUUUGAUGGUUCUUUUGGAUUGACAUUGGAGAAAUCUACCAGACCAGACAUGACUGGAGCACAUUGAUUCUUUCGUGAUUAUUCUCGCAAAAUCAAUUUUUGUGUCGACAAGUCGAUAUAUUGGCUGGUCAUAUUGUUUUCUUGCGAUUUUUAUGGAAAAUCGAAUUUUUUGAUCAGGAAUGAAAUCGGUUAAUUACGGUCCGAGGGUGGAGAUGGGGGUCCUGACAUGGUCGGAGCACGCCGAUUUCCACGUACUUUUACACGUAGAAUCACUUUAAAGGUUGGCGAGUUGAUAUAUCGAUUGAUCAUACUCGGCCAAUUCGAGGGACAGUUUUAUCUUCCUUCAAAUAUGCUAAUCCGGAAUUCUCAUACUGCUCCAUCAUGACCAAAUAACCUUAAAAAUGAUUCUACGUGUAAAAGUACGUGGGGAUCGACGUUUAAAAUUGAUUCUACGUGUAAGAAUUGAUGUGCUCCAAUCAUGAAAAGUACAUUUCCUCGAUCUCGGAUGGAGAAACACCGAUCUCAAUCCCGAUAAACCAUCGAUUUUCCGCAAAAAAUCGCAAAAAUUCAAUACAACUGAUCGAUAUAUCGACUCUUCGAGGUUAUAGAUCGAUUCCACGUGUAAAAAUACGUAAGAAUCGAUGUGCUCCAGACAUGUUGGGUACAUAUCUCUCAUCUCGGAUGGAGCAAACCCGAUUUUGAUUCCGAAAAGUCAACGAUUUUCCGUAAAAAAUCGCAAAAAUUCGAUACAAAU
RNAcentral lists this long non-coding RNA (2458 nucleotides) under Bemisia tabaci. RNAcentral describes it as "lncRNA ENSSSA1NGG004476". Lineage: Eukaryota; Metazoa; Arthropoda; Insecta; Hemiptera; Aleyrodidae. The record is from RNAcentral.